UCGCCACCAAAACUUCCGUA
This 20-nucleotide non-coding RNA is filed under the name Arabidopsis thaliana (thale cress). Lineage: Eukaryota; Viridiplantae; Streptophyta; Magnoliopsida; Brassicales; Brassicaceae. The record is from RNAcentral.